RNAcentral lists this ribosomal RNA (490 nucleotides) under uncultured bacterium. RNAcentral's name for it is "partial 16S ribosomal RNA". It matches the Rfam family "Bacterial small subunit ribosomal RNA", at positions 29 to 505 of the family's 1533-position model. The record is from RNAcentral.
AGUGAACGCUGGCGGUAGGCCUAACACAUGCAAGUCGAACGGCAGCACAGUAAGAGCUUGCUCUUACGGGUGGCGAGUGGCGGACGGGUGAGGAAUACAUCGGAAUCUACUUUUUCGUGGGGGAUAACGUAGGGAAACUUACGCUAAUACCGCAUACGACCUACGGGUGAAAGCAGGGGAUCUUCGGACCUUGCGCGAUUGAAUGAGCCGAUGUCGGAUUAGCUAGUUGGCGGGGUAAAGGCCCACCAAGGCGACGAUCCGUAGCUGGUCUGAGAGGAUGAUCAGCCACACUGGAACUGAGACACGGUCCAGACUCCUACGGGAGGCAGCAGUGGGGAAUAUUGGACAAUGGGCGCAAGCCUGAUCCAGCCAUACCGCGUGGGUGAAGAAGGCCUUCGGGUUGUAAAGCCCUUUUGUUGGGAAAGAAAAGCAGCAGGUUAAUACCCCGCUGUUCUGACGGUACACAAAGAAUAAGCACCGGCUAACUUCG